CAGCCGCCGCGGUAAAACAGAGGGUGCGAGCGUUAAUCGGAUUUACUGGGCGUAAAGCGUGCGUAGGCGGCUUCUUAAGUCGGAUGUGAAAUCCCUGAGCUUAACUUAGGAAUUGCAUUCGAUACUGGGAAGCUAGAGUAUGGGAGAGGAUGGUAGAAUUCCAGGUGUAGCGGUGAAAUGCGUAGAGAUCUGGAGGAAUACCGAUGGCGAAGGCAGCCAUCUGGCCUAAUACUGACGCUGAGGUACGAAAGCAUGGGGAGCAAACAGGAUUAGAUACCCGCGUAGUCCCUGUCUCUUAUAC
Molecule: ribosomal RNA, 301 nt
Filed under: uncultured bacterium
Lineage: Bacteria
Description: partial 16S ribosomal RNA
Rfam family: Bacterial small subunit ribosomal RNA
Source: RNAcentral